Molecule: transfer RNA, 74 nt
Filed under: Alphaproteobacteria bacterium
Lineage: Bacteria; Pseudomonadati; Pseudomonadota; Alphaproteobacteria
Also listed under: 2 other names
Description: tRNA-Gly
Rfam family: tRNA
About the family: Transfer RNA (tRNA) molecules are approximately 80 nucleotides in length. Their secondary structure includes four short double-helical elements and three loops (D, anti-codon, and T loops). Further hydrogen bonds mediate the characteristic L-shaped molecular structure. tRNAs have two regions of fundamental functional importance: the anti-codon, which is responsible for specific mRNA codon recognition, and the 3' end, to which the tRNAs corresponding amino acid is attached (by aminoacyl-tRNA synthetases). tRNAs cope with the degeneracy of the genetic code in two manners: having more than one tRNA (with a specific anti-codon) for a particular amino acid; and 'wobble' base-pairing, i.e. permitting non-standard base-pairing at the 3rd anti-codon position.
Source: RNAcentral
GCGGGAUUAGCAUAGUGGUAAUGCUCUAGCCUUCCAAGCUAGCUAGAGGGGUUCGAUUCCCCUAUCCCGCUCCA